This 423-nucleotide ribosomal RNA is filed under the name uncultured bacterium. Its description in RNAcentral is "bacterial SSU rRNA". It matches the Rfam family "Bacterial small subunit ribosomal RNA", at positions 355 to 775 of the family's 1533-position model. The record is from RNAcentral.
UAGGGAAUAUUGGGCAAUGGAGGCAACUCUGACCCAGCCAUGCCGCGUGCAGGAUGAAGGCGCUCAGCGUUGUAAACUGCUUUUAUCAGGGAAGAACUGGGGUUGUGCGCAAUCUCUUGACGGUACCUGAGGAAUAAGCACCGGCUAACUCCGUGCCAGCAGCCGCGGUAAUACGGAGGGUGCAAGCGUUGUCCGGAUUUAUUGGGUUUAAAGGGUGCGUAGGUGGUCUUCUAAGUCUGGUUUGAAAGCAGGCGGCUUAACCGUCUGAUGUGGCUGGAAACUGGGGGACUUGAAUGGGUUGGCGGUCGCCGGAACGGGUCAUGUAGCGGUGAAAUGCAUAGAUAUGACCCAGAACCCCGAUUGCGAAGGCAGGCGACUAGGACCCAAUUGACACUGAGGCACGAGAGCAUGGGGAGCGAACAG